RNAcentral lists this ribosomal RNA (451 nucleotides) under uncultured bacterium. RNAcentral's name for it is "bacterial SSU rRNA". It matches the Rfam family "Bacterial small subunit ribosomal RNA", at positions 354 to 796 of the family's 1533-position model. The record is from RNAcentral.
GUAGGGAAUCUUCCGCAAUGGACGAAAGUCUGACGGAGCAACGCCGCGUGAGUGAUGAAGGCUUUCGGGUCGUAAAACUCUGUUGUUAGGGAAGAACAAGUGCUAGUUGAAUAAGCUGGCACCUUGACGGUACCUAACCAGAAAGCCACGGCUAACUACGUGCCAGCAGCCGCGGUAAUACGUAGGUGGCAAGCGUUAUCCGGAAUUAUUGGGCGUAAAGCGCGCGCAGGUGGUUUCUUAAGUCUGAUGUGAAAGCCCACGGCUCAACCGUGGAGGGUCAUUGGAAACUGGGAGACUUGAGUGCAGAAGAGGAAAGUGGAAUUCCAUGUGUAGCGGUGAAAUGCGUAGAGAUAUGGAGGAACACCAGUGGCGAAGGCGACUUUCUGGUCUGUAACUGACACUGAGGCGCGAAAGCGUGGGGAGCAAACAGGAUUAGAAACCCUAGUAGUCC